GGUUCCAUAGUGUAGUGGUUAGCACGUCUGCUUUACAUGCAGAAGGUUCUGGGUUUAUGCCCUAGUGGAGCCA
Molecule: transfer RNA, 73 nt
Filed under: Pteropus alecto (black flying fox)
Lineage: Eukaryota; Metazoa; Chordata; Mammalia; Chiroptera; Pteropodidae
Rfam family: tRNA
About the family: Transfer RNA (tRNA) molecules are approximately 80 nucleotides in length. Their secondary structure includes four short double-helical elements and three loops (D, anti-codon, and T loops). Further hydrogen bonds mediate the characteristic L-shaped molecular structure. tRNAs have two regions of fundamental functional importance: the anti-codon, which is responsible for specific mRNA codon recognition, and the 3' end, to which the tRNAs corresponding amino acid is attached (by aminoacyl-tRNA synthetases). tRNAs cope with the degeneracy of the genetic code in two manners: having more than one tRNA (with a specific anti-codon) for a particular amino acid; and 'wobble' base-pairing, i.e. permitting non-standard base-pairing at the 3rd anti-codon position.
Source: Rfam by way of RNAcentral